AUGGCAGACGGGUGAGUAACGCGUGGGGAACCUACCUCUUUGUGGGGAAUAACGUUCCGAAAGGAAUGGUAAUACCGCAUGAGACCAUGGACUGGGAUGUUCAUGGUGAAACCCGGGGACCGAAAGGCCUGGGGCAAGGAGAGGGUCCUGCGUCUGAUUAGCUAGUUGGCGGGGUAACGGCCCACCAAGGCGUCGAUCAGUAGCCGGCCUGAGAGGGUGAUCGGCCACACUGGAACUGAGACACGGUCCAGACUCCUACGGGAGGCAGCAGUGGGGAAUUUUGCGCAAUGGGCGAGAGCCUGACGCAGCAACGCCGCGUGGGUGAUGAAGGUCUUCGGAUCGUAAAACCCUGUCGUCAGGGACGAAGGUCACGAGUUUAAGAGAUGCGUGACUUGACGGUACCUGGAGAGGAAGCCCCGGCUAACUCUGUGCCAGCAGCCGCGGUAAUACAGAGGGGGCAAGCGUUAUUCGGAAUUAUUGGGCGUAAAGGGCGCGUAGGCGGUGUCUUAAGUGAGACGUGUAAUCCCCGAGCUUAACUUGGGAACUGCAUCUCAGACUGGGGCGCUAGAGUACUGGAGAGAGUGGUAGAAUUCCACGUGUAGCGGUGAAAUGCGUAGAGAUGUGGAGGAAUACCAGUGGCGAAGGCGGCCACCUGGACAGUAACUGACGCUGAGGCGCGAAAGUGUGGGGAGCAAACAGGAUUAGAUACCCUGGUAGUCCACGCUGUAAACGAUGAACACUUGGUGUGGCGGGAGUUGACCCCUGCCGUGCCGGAGCUAACGCGAUAAGUGUUCCGCCUGGGGAGUACGGUCGCAAGGCUGAAACUCAAAGGAAUUGACGGGGGCCCGCACAAGCGGUGGAGCAUGUGGUUUAAUUCGACGCAACGCGAAGAACCUUACCUGGGCUUGAA
RNAcentral lists this ribosomal RNA (910 nucleotides) under uncultured bacterium. RNAcentral's name for it is "bacterial SSU rRNA". It matches the Rfam family "Bacterial small subunit ribosomal RNA", at positions 95 to 985 of the family's 1533-position model. The record is from RNAcentral.